CCUACGGGUGGCAGCAGUGGGGAAUAUUGGGCAAUGGAGGCAACUCUGACCCAGCAACGCCGCGUGAAUGAUGAAGGUCUUCGGAUUGUAAAGUUCUGUGAUGGGGGAUGAACACAAUGACGGUACCCCAAUAGCAAGCCACGGCUAACUACGUGCCAGCAGCCGCGGUAAUACGUAGGGGGCAAGCGUUAUCCGGAUUUACUGGGUGUAAAGGGAGCGUAGACGGUGCAGCAAGUCUGAUGUGAAAGGUCGGGGCCCAACCCCGGGACUGCAUUGGAAACUGUUGAACUGGAGUACAGGAGAGGUAAGCGGAAUUCCUAGUGUAGCGGUGAAAUGCGUAGAUAUUAGGAGGAACACCAGUGGCGAAGGCGGCUUACUGGACUGUAACUGACGUUGAGGCUCGAAAGCGUGGGGAGCAAACAGGAUUAGAUACCCUUGUAGUC
RNAcentral lists this ribosomal RNA (443 nucleotides) under uncultured bacterium. Its description in RNAcentral is "partial 16S ribosomal RNA". It matches the Rfam family "Bacterial small subunit ribosomal RNA", at positions 338 to 795 of the family's 1533-position model. The record is from RNAcentral.